Hyla sarda is the source of this 150-nucleotide small nucleolar RNA. RefSeq annotates it as small nucleolar RNA SNORA49. NCBI's taxonomy places the organism in Eukaryota, Metazoa, Chordata, Amphibia, Anura, Hylidae. The record is from RefSeq and is a predicted model, not a curated record. The transcript has a single exon.
CCACCUCUGUCCAUAUCAGGAACUGUUUUGCUAUGGGGAUUUUCUCCUGCUUUGAACAUUUCCUGACAUGGCCAGAGGUGGCAGAAGAGAGUACUGUGUCUCACUGGAAUGACUACAUGACUUCCUCCAGGGCAUACAGCAGCUGAUAAG